UGGUGGAGUGAUUUGUCUGGUUUAUUCCGUUAACGAACGAGACCUCGACCUGCUAAAUAGUACUGGACGGGCCUUCUGACCCGUGCCAGAGACUUCUUAGAGGGACUAUCGGUGUUUAGCCGGUGGAAGUUCGAGGCAAUAACA
Molecule: ribosomal RNA, 144 nt
Filed under: uncultured eukaryote
Lineage: Eukaryota
Description: partial 18S ribosomal RNA
Rfam family: Eukaryotic small subunit ribosomal RNA
Source: RNAcentral